This 484-nucleotide ribosomal RNA is filed under the name uncultured bacterium. RNAcentral's name for it is "partial 16S ribosomal RNA". It matches the Rfam family "Bacterial small subunit ribosomal RNA", at positions 28 to 507 of the family's 1533-position model. The record is from RNAcentral.
AUUGAACGCUGGCGGCAGGCCUAACACAUGCAAGUCGAGCGGAAGAAGGGAGCUUGCUCCUGGAUUCAGCGGCGGACGGGAGAGUAAUGCCUAGGAAUGUGCCGGGGAGGGGGGGAUAACGUCCGGAAACGGGCGCUAAUACCGCAUACGUCCUGAGGGAGAAAGAGGGGGAUCCUCGGACCUCACGCUAUCAGAUGAGCCGAGGUCGGACUAGCUAGUUGGUGGGGUAAAGGCCGACCAAGGCGACGAUCCGUCACUGGUCUGAGAGGAUGAUCAGUCACACUGGAGCUGCGACACGGUCCAGACUCCUACGGGCGGCAGCAGUCGGCACUCUUCCACCCUGGGCCAAAGCCUGCUCCCGCCCUGCCGCGUGUGUGCCGACGGUCUUCGGCUUGUACAGCACUUUCAGUUCGGGGGAAGGGCAGUCCGUUACUCCCUUGCUGUUUUGACGUCCCCGACAGAAUCAGCCCCGGCUCACUUCGUG